GAUGAACGCUGGCGGCGUGCUUAACACAUGCAAGUCGAACGGGAAACCUUUUAUUGAAGCUUCGGCAGAUUUAGAUUGUUUCUAGUGGCGGACGGGUGAGUAACGCGUGGGUAACCUGCCUUAUACAGGGGGAUAACAGUCAGAAAUGACUGCUAAUACCGCAUAAGCGCACAGAGCUGCAUGGCUCGGUGCGAAAAACUCCGGUGGUAUAAGAUGGACCCGCGUUGGAUUAGCUAGUUGGUGAGGUAACGGCCCACCAAGGCGACGAUCCAUAGCCGGCCUGAGAGGGUGAACGGCCACAUUGGGACUGAGACACGGCCCAGACUCCUACGGGAGGCAGCAGUGGGGAAUAUUGCACAAUGGGGGAAACCCUGAUGCAGCGACGCCGCGUGAAGGAAGAAGUAUCUCGGUAUGUAAACUUCUAUCAGCAGGGAAGAAAAUGACGGUACCUGACUAAGAAGCCCCGGCUAACUA
This 474-nucleotide ribosomal RNA is filed under the name uncultured bacterium. Its description in RNAcentral is "bacterial SSU rRNA". It matches the Rfam family "Bacterial small subunit ribosomal RNA", at positions 28 to 503 of the family's 1533-position model. The record is from RNAcentral.